Molecule: ribosomal RNA, 468 nt
Filed under: uncultured bacterium
Lineage: Bacteria
Description: partial 16S ribosomal RNA
Rfam family: Bacterial small subunit ribosomal RNA
Source: RNAcentral
GACGAACGCUGGCGGCGUGCUUAACACAUGCAAGUCGAACGGAAAGGCCCUGCUUUUGUGGGGUGCUCGAGUGGCGAACGGGUGAGUAACACGUGAGUAACCUGCCCUUGACUUUGGGAUAACUUCAGGAAACUGGGGCUAAUACCGGAUAGGAGCUCCUGCUGCAUGGUGGGGGUUGGAAAGUUUCGGCGGUUGGGGAUGGACUCGCGGCUUAUCAGCUUGUUGGUGGGGUAGUGGCUUACCAAGGCUUUGACGGGUAGCCGGCCUGAGAGGGUGACCGGCCACAUUGGGACUGAGAUACGGCCCAGACUCCUACGGGGGGCAGCAGUGGGGAAUAUUGCACUAUGGGCGGAAGCCUGAUGCAGCAACGCCGCGUGCGGGAUGACGGCCUUCGGGUUGUAAACCGCUUUCGCCUGUGACGAAGCGUGAGUGACGGUAAUGGGUAAAGAAGCACCGGCUAACUACGUG